This is a non-coding RNA of Coffea arabica (coffee), 475 nucleotides long. The record is from RefSeq and is a predicted model, not a curated record. NCBI's taxonomy places the organism in Eukaryota, Viridiplantae, Streptophyta, Magnoliopsida, Gentianales, Rubiaceae.
GGUUGCCUUCUUUUUUUUUUCUCACCUCAGGACAUGAUGGAAUAGAAAUUUUUUCCUUGCAAAAUUUUUCUGUUCAGUCCACAUUUUCCAUCUCUACUUCCUGGAUCCUGGUCGAUCGGGCAUUUGCAGACCCAACAAAAAGGUUGAGAAUUUUAUUAAGGCUGGGUGGUGGUAUCAAGCAAGAGAGCGGAUAAAAAAUAACAGCCAAAAGGCAUACAAAAGUUCGAUGUUAUGCAUAAUUUAAGAGAACAAGAGAGCGGAUAAAAAAUAACAGCCAAAAGGUUAGACUAUCAUGUUUCUUGAAAAUCGCUUCAUUAUAUUGCUUUAAUUUGUUUAUCUUUCAUUUGAUUUGAUUGUCAACUUGAAAAAUGUAUGGGAAAUGACUUAGACCCUGUAUGUGAAACAUAGUAGGGUGUCGGCAUUUAUGGGAAAAGCAAUUAAUUCAGGAAUGCAUAUAAGCUGUUUGGUGAAAUGU